Molecule: long non-coding RNA, 866 nt
Organism: Dalotia coriaria
Lineage: Eukaryota; Metazoa; Arthropoda; Insecta; Coleoptera; Staphylinidae
Exons: 2
Source: RefSeq, a predicted model, not a curated record
CACUUAGGGGAGAGCAGGUAGGAUUCGUACAGUAGGAGCAUUCGUACAGUCCUUAUUCCUACCACUGUAGAAUACUUUGACAGGUCUGUGUUUGUGUGCGUGAGACCCACUCGCACGCAUAGGUUACUCGCGGGGUGAGACGUCAGUGCAGCCGCCGGCUUCGACGCAACGAGUCGUAACGUGAUUUCGCGCCAAUUCAACCCAAGAUGCUCAAACGAACCCACAAGCUUCAACUUCUUCACAACCACAAGCGUUACAAUCCACGCAAGAUAAGCAAUCAAGUUCUGUAGCCGUUCAAGAUUACGAUGUGCCAGAGACCAUACCAGCAGACCCCAUACAGACAGAGUUUAUUCAACAAAACCUUCCAAGUUGUUCAUCAUCUGUGUCUCCAUCUUUGCUAUCACCUACAACAGUAACAGAUUGCUCACCAGCUGUGGGGUUGAUCACCCCAGAGUUAGUCAGGCCAUAUCCUAGAGUGGACAGAGAUUCAAUAAAGAAAACAAGGAAAGGAAAGCUACCAGGCAAAUCUAGAAUUUACACUGAUACUCCGGAAAAGAUAGACUGGCAGAAAUAGAAAAGGAAGACUAUUGAAGAAGCAAGUGCAAGAGAAAAAACAAAAAGCUAAGGCCAUCAAAGCUCUACAUCUUGUCUUAGAUGCAGAUAACGCAUCUUCAAUAAAGAGGAAAUCUCAAUCGAAAGAGUCAUUUAAUUUAAAGAAGCAAAAGAAAACUACAAAGACUGAUAAUGAAGCAAAUGCAUAUUAUAUGAUACCUAUGAAUACCUAAAUAAUAUAUCUUGGUUCUUAAUACAAAAAUGCUGAUUCUGUGUUAAAUUGAUCUCAAUAAAUGAUUAAAUUUAAUCAACAA